RNAcentral lists this long non-coding RNA (2712 nucleotides) under Glycine max (soybean). RNAcentral describes it as "long non-coding RNA (GMAX_LNC004450)". Lineage: Eukaryota; Viridiplantae; Streptophyta; Magnoliopsida; Fabales; Fabaceae. The record is from RNAcentral.
CUGGAAGCCUUCUCAUUCGGGGGUUGGGCACCUCAAAUAUUAAUAUUAUCUCACCCUGCUAUUGGAGGGUUUAUAACACAGUGGUUGGAACUCUACCUUUGAAGCAAUAUGUGCUGGGGUGCCAAUGCUUACGUGGCCACUAUUUGCGGAUCAGUUUUUGAAUGAAAGUCUAGUGGUGCAUGUACUAAAAGUUGGAUUGAAGGUUGGGGUGGAAAUUCCGCUUACAUGGGGUAAGGAAGUGGAAAUUGGUGUGCAAGUGAAGAAGAAAGAUGUUGAAAGGGCAAUAGCAAAGUUGAUGGAUGAGACAAGCGAAAGUGGAAAAAGAAGAAAAAGGGUGAGAGAUAGAGAAAGGGGGUUCAUCAUAUUCUAAUGUGACCUUGCUUAUCCAGGAAAUCAUGCAGAAAAACAAGAGAGAUGUAUGAUAAUCUUCAUUUUCCAUAAGCCAUUUUGAAAUAAAAGGCAACACCUAGCAUGUAGAUUUUCAUUUAAUGUACUUUCUUUUAAGUUCUAUUCAUGACCUCUUUCAAAUUUACUAAUUAUCUAUAUUUUGAAUUGUUUGCCAUGACUUCAUGAUCUUUCUGAAAUUUCUUUGUACUUUUGUAAGUUGAUAUCAUAGUUUUAGGCAAUUAUUUGCUUUCUGUUGUCCCUUCUUAUUGUAUUUAGGAGAAUAAUUUUGGGGUUGGUAUACGGGGAAAUAAUAUUUUUUCGUGUUAUUAACACGAAAAAGCUACAAAUAUAUCCACUUAAAUUUUUAAAAAAAUAAACUUUGAAUCUUCUUGGAUGAUGCGUUAAUUACUAGUGCUCCUCCAUACAUGUCAGAAUUUCUCCACACGUAUGUCCGACCUGAUUGUAGUGUGUGUAUUAGGCAUUAUUCUAACAAUGAUUGUUACUCUCAUGGACAGAGCUUGUGAUGGACAAAGAGACAAAUCCAUCGAUAAAAAUAAACACUACUCUUAGAUUAUGUAUUAAUUUAUUCUUGAUCGAUCCCAUAGAAAUUUGUUUUCUAGAGCUAUCCGAUUUGAAAUCAAGCAGACAAAAGGCCAAAAAACAUGACUCAUAAGUGUCACAUAUAUAAUCCAAACGUGUUUACGUAAGCGCUUACAUGAUCAUGCCCUUCACCAAUAGUCAUACAUACAAGUCUUACAAAUAGAUAAGAUGAAGCGAAUUCCUUGUACUGUACCUCAUCAUUUCACUGCAAAAAUAUGGUUUCCGAAGCACAAAAGCCACACUUUGUCUUGUUUCCAUUGAUGGCCCAAGGCCACAUGAUCCCCAUGAUGGACAUCGCAAAGAUAUUGGUGCACCGCAAUGUUAUUGUGACUGUGGUCACAACGCCACAUAACGCAGCUCGUUUCACACCAAUCUUUGAUCGUUAUAUUGAGUCUGGCUUUCCUGUAAGAUUGGUUCAACUUCAAUUCCCAUGUGAAGAAGCUGGAGUACCAAAAGGAUGCGAGAAUCUCGAUAUGAUACCUUCACUUGCCACGGCCACAAGUUUCUUCAAAGCAGCAAACCUUCUACAACAACCAGUGGAAAAACUGUUUGAAGAGUUAACACCACCACCAAGCUGCAUCAUCUCUGAUAUGUGUUUGCCAUACACAAUCCACAUCGCCAAAAAAUUCAAUAUUCCCAGGAUUUCUUUUGGAGGAGUAGGUUGCUUUUAUCUUUUGUGUUUGCAUAAUAUACGCAUCCAUAAUGUUGGGGAGAACAUAACAUCUGAGUCCGAGAAAUUUGUUGUGCCUGGUAUCCCUGACAAAAUUGAGAUGACAAAAGCACAGGCUGGACAACCGAUGAAUGAAAGCUGGAAUCAGUUUGGUUAUGAUGUUAUGGCGGCUGAAAUGGGUACUUAUGGGGUAAUCACGAAUUCUUUUGAAGAGUUGGAGCCAGCAUAUGUAAGGGACUACAAGAAUAUCAGAGGCGAUAAAGUGUGGUGUAUAGGCCCUGUGUCACUCAUUAACAAGGAUCAUUUGGAUAAGGCUCAAAGAGGUAGGGCCUCAAUUGAUGUGUCCCAAUACUUAGAAUGGCUUGAUUGUCAGAAGCCAGGGACUGUAAUCUAUGCAUGUCUUGGAAGCCUAUGCAAUUUAACAACACCCCAAUUGAUAGAGCUUGGUUUAGCCUUGGAAGCAUCAGAAAGACCCUUCAUUUGGGUUAUCAGGGAAGGAGGUCAUUCAGAAGAAUUAGAAAAGUGGAUUAAGGAAUAUGGAUUUGAGGAAAGCACCAAUGCUAGAAGCCUUCUCAUUCGGGGUUGGGCUCCUCAAUUGUUAAUAUUAGCACACCCUGCUAUUGGAGGGUUCAUAACACACUGUGGUUGGAACUCUACAAUAGAAGCAAUAUGUGCUGGGGUGCCAAUGCUUACGUGGCCACUAUUUGCAGAUCAGUUUUUGAAUGAAAGUCUAGUGGUGCAUGUACUAAAAGUUGGAUUGAAGGUUGGGGUGGAAAUUCCACUUACAUGGGGUAAGGAAGUGGAAAUUGGUGUGCAAGUGAAGAAGAAAGAUGUUGAAAGGGCAAUAGCAAAGUUGAUGGAUGAGACAAGCGAAAGUGAAGAAAGAAGAAAAAGGGUGAGAGAGCUUGCUGAGAUGGCUAACAGAGCCGUAGAGAAAGGGGGUUCAUCAUAUUCUAAUGUGACCUUGCUUAUCCAGGAUAUCAUGCAAAAAACCUAGAGAGAUGUGUGAUAAUCUCAUUUGUCAUAAACCAAUUUGAAGUAAAAGGCAACUCAUU